This 248-nucleotide ribosomal RNA is filed under the name uncultured bacterium. Its description in RNAcentral is "partial 16S ribosomal RNA". It matches the Rfam family "Bacterial small subunit ribosomal RNA", at positions 57 to 305 of the family's 1533-position model. The record is from RNAcentral.
GCAAGUCGAACGGCAGCGCGGGGAGCUUGCUUUCUGGCGGCGAGUGGCGGACGGGUGAGUAACGCGGGGGAAUCUGCCCUGUAGUGGGGGAUAACGCGGGGAAACUCGGGCUGAUACCGCAUACGACCUUCGGGUGAAAGUGGCUCUUUCGGGGGACACGCUAUAGGAUGAGCCUGCGUCCGAUUAGCUAGUUGGUGAGGUAAAGGCUCACCAAGGCGACGAUCGGUAGCUGGUCUGAGAGGAUAAUC